AGACCCGAAACCCGGUGAUCUAGCCAUGGGCAGGUUGAAGGUUGGGUAACACUAACUGGAGGACCGAACCGACUAAUGUUGAAAAAUUAGCGGAUGACCUGUGGCUGGGGGUGAAAGGCCAAUCAAACCGGGAGAUAGCUGGUUCUCCCCGAAAGCUAUUUAGGUAGCGCCUCGUGAAUUCAUCUCCGGGGGUAGAGCACUGUUUCGGCUAGGGGGCCAUCCCGGCUUACCAACCCGAUGCAAACUGCGAAUACCGGAGAAUGUUAUCACGGGAGACACACGGCGGGUGCUAACGUCCGUCGUGAAGAGGGAAACAACCCAGACCGCCAGCUAAGGUCCCAAAGUCAUGGUUAAGUGGGAAACGAUGUGGGAAGGCCCAGACAGCCAGGAUGUUGGCUUAGAAGCAGCCAUCAUUUAAAGAAAGCGUAAUAGCUCACUGGUCGAGUCGGCCUGCGCGGAAGAUGUAACGGGGCUAAACCAUGCACCGAAGCUGCGGCAGCGACGCUGAUGCGUUGUUGGGUAGGGGAGCGUUCUGUAAGCCUGCGAAGGUGGCCUGUGAGGGUUGCUGGAGGUAUCAGAAGUGCGAAUGCUGACAUAAGUAACGAUAAAGCGGGUGAAAAGCCCGCUCGCCGGAAGACCAAGGGUUCCUGUCCAACGUUAAUCGGGGCAGGGUGAGUCGACCCCUAAGGCGAGGCCGAAAGGCGUAGUCGAUGGGAAACGGGUUAAUAUUCCCGUACUUGGUGUUACUGCGAAGGGGGGACGGAGAAGGCUAUGUUGGCCGGGCGACGGUUGUCCCGGUUUAAGCGUGUAGGUGUGUGUUCCAGGUAAAUCCGGUUCACUUUAACACUGAGGCGUGAUGACGAG
This 864-nucleotide ribosomal RNA is filed under the name Salmonella enterica subsp. enterica serovar Chester. RNAcentral describes it as "partial 23S ribosomal RNA". It matches the Rfam family "Bacterial large subunit ribosomal RNA", at positions 711 to 1573 of the family's 2925-position model. Lineage: Bacteria; Pseudomonadati; Pseudomonadota; Gammaproteobacteria; Enterobacterales; Enterobacteriaceae. The record is from RNAcentral.